Molecule: small nucleolar RNA, 144 nt
Organism: Psammomys obesus (fat sand rat)
Lineage: Eukaryota; Metazoa; Chordata; Mammalia; Rodentia; Muridae
Product: small nucleolar RNA SNORA48
Exons: 1
Source: RefSeq, a predicted model, not a curated record
CGCCCCUGACAACGGGCAACGAGACACCUUGUUGGUGGUGGUGUUCAUAUACCAGACAGGGGCAGAGCAGGUGGCUGUCCUAAGUUCAUCCUAGCUUGAUGCCUGACUUGCUGGACAAAGCUGUCUUAUGCCUAGGGCUCAUAA